UACGUAGGGGGCAAGCGUUGUCCGGAAUUAUUGGGCGUAAAGAGCGUGUAGGCGGUCCGGUAAGUCGGAUGUGAAAUCUCCAGGCUCAACCUGGAGGGGUCAUUCGAUACUGCCGUGACUAGAGUUCGGUAGGGGAGUGUGGAAUUCCUGGUGGAGCGGUGAAAUGCGCAGAUAUCAGGAGGAACACCCGUAGCGAAGGCGGCACUCUGGGCCGAUACUGACACUGAGGAGCGAAAGCGUGGGGAGCGAACAGG
Molecule: ribosomal RNA, 254 nt
Filed under: uncultured bacterium
Lineage: Bacteria
Description: partial 16S ribosomal RNA
Rfam family: Bacterial small subunit ribosomal RNA
Source: RNAcentral